Helianthus annuus (common sunflower) is the source of this 899-nucleotide long non-coding RNA. RefSeq lists it as uncharacterized. The transcript is spliced from 5 exons. Lineage: Eukaryota; Viridiplantae; Streptophyta; Magnoliopsida; Asterales; Asteraceae. The record is from RefSeq and is a predicted model, not a curated record.
AAACAUGUUCAUGUGGUUUGUAAAUGGUCAAAGUUAUUUGUGAACAUGUCAUUUCGAUGAUGGAAGGCAUGCACUUAGAAGAUUAGGAACACUUUGUGAGCAGAUUCAAGAACUAAAUUUUCAAGGAGUUGCUAUUAUCUUGAUGACAUAUGGUGAUGUCGGAGCUGGUCGACAAUGACUUACAUAAAAGAAAUUAAAAUGACAGACAGGACAAAUGUUCUAUAAAGAAAAUCCGGCUUGGAAAGCAGAAGGAAGGGGUUGAUGCAUUUCCUCAUAAAGGAAACUUGCAUGUUGUUUUUGAGUCUAUGGAGACUGAUCUUGAAGCUGUUAUUCGAGAUAGAAACAUCGUUCUUUCACCCACUGAUAUAAAGUCCUAGCUUCAAAUGACAUUAAAAGGACUUGCUUUUUGCCAUAAGAAAUGGGUUUUGCACAGGCUGAUUUUGGAAAGGAAGUAUGAGUAUCCGAGUGGUUCUUUCGAAGAUCUUCGACUUUCAGAUCCGUUACCCUUUAUUGUUUGGGAUUGUUUGUUGUCGCGGAUAUGAUCAAUGUGGGAAUUUGUAGUUGGUCAGACUACAAAUAAACCAUUGGAAGGUAAUAUUCCUUAAUUGUUUGAAUCCGAUCUUUCCUCCUUUAUCGUUGGGCUUGUGUAUUGAUGAUUUUCCCGUUUUUACUUUUGCUCAAAUAGGUUUUCUUUUGAAACGUUUUUUAGGUGAGUUAAUGAGUUGCUGUAAAGAAGGCAAAACCAUAGGCAGACGACGUUGAAUAUCAACUACAAAUCUAUUGUAAUUAUACAUGUAGUGGCCGUAAUGUUUUGUAAUAGGUACCAAAUUCCCAACGCAUGUGCGGCAUGAAAAGUUUGUAACACACAUCCGGUCUUAUUAAUUGUAUUCUUUUAAUGA